This 396-nucleotide ribosomal RNA is filed under the name Theileria velifera. RNAcentral describes it as "SSU rRNA". It matches the Rfam family "Eukaryotic small subunit ribosomal RNA", at positions 486 to 920 of the family's 1831-position model. The record is from RNAcentral. Lineage: Eukaryota; Apicomplexa; Aconoidasida; Piroplasmida; Theileriidae.
CGGGGCUUAAUGUCUUGUAAUUGGAAUGAUGGGAAUUUAAACCUCUUCCAGAGUAUCAAUUGGAGGGCAAGUCUGGUGCCAGCAGCCGCGGUAAUUCCAGCUCCAAUAGCGUAUAUUAAAAUUGUUGCAGUUAAAAAGCUCGUAGUUGAAUUUCUGCUACAUUGCCUAUUCUCCUUUACGAGUUUGGGUCUUUUGUGGCUUAUCUGGGUUCGCUUGCGUUCCCGGUGUUUUACUUUGAGAAAAUUAGAGUGCUCAAAGCAGGCUUUUGCCUUGAAUAGUUUAGCAUGGAAUAAUAAAGUAGGACUUUGGUUCUAUUUUGUUGGUUUUAGGUACCAAAGUAAUGGUUAAUAGGAACAGUUGGGGGCAUUCGUAUUUAACUGUCAGAGGUGAAAUUCU